CGAAACACUGGGCCGCCUGCAGCGGAGCGCGCAAACUUAACCACUCGGCCACGGGGCCAGCCCCAAAAUAUUCUUGACUUUUAAACAAUUGAGGAGGAAAAGUUUUUGUGCUUGGUCCCUAAGUGCUUAGCUCAGGGAUAUGUAGUGGUCCUUUCUCUUUCCUUAGUAGCUAAUGGAAAUUCAUUAUUAAAAAACCAGAAAUGGCAAUGCAUUUAUUUCAUUUUUAAGAGCUUGAACACUUAAGUGAGGAUGCUGAGAGCAGUUGUCUUUUCAUUACUUUAUAUUACAUGAAUUCAGCCUGUGUUCUUUACACUAUAGUCUUACUCAUUUUAGUGAGUAAUUGGGUGGAGAGCUAACUUUCUCCUUCUUUCAUUUUCCCUUUUCAGUGAUCAAUUGCUGUUUCAGAAAAUACCAGAAGACCCCAAAGGAAAACAUUCCAUCCAGAGUUAGUCAACAAGUUGUGACCUAUCUACAUUUAAUGCCAAGAGUAUCAUUUCCAAGUACAGCCAUGAAACUGAGCCAGACUUACCCAGUUGGAUAUAUUACAUUUGCCGUUUCCUUCUUCUCCACUUAGAACUGCCUAGCACUUGCCGCUUUGGGGAGCAGCUCACAUUAGGAAGCCUUCUUAAAAAUAAAGCCUUGGAAUUUCUGAGCCCAGGCGGAAACCCCAGAGACCUGAAUUAGCCUUCACUGAAUGUAGAGGAAUAAUGGCCUCUUCCACCAUGUCCACGCCCUGAUUUCAGAACCUGUGUAUAUGUUACCUUACGUGGAAGAAGAGACUUUGAAGAUGUGAUUAAAGUUAAAGAUCUUGAGGUGGGGAGAGUAGCCUGUGUUAUCCAAGUGGGCCCAAUCUAAUAAAAUGGACCUUAGAAGCAGAAAAUGUUUCCCAGUUAUGAUUAGGGAGACAGUAGAAGAAGGAGGAAAGAUUGGAAGUGUGAAAGGAGAAACCCACUCUUGCUGGCUUUGAAGAUGGAGGAGGGGACCAUGAGCCAAGAAAUGUGUCUCUUCUAGAAGUCUUCCAGAAAUGUGACUUCUUCUAGAAGUCAGGAAUGGCCCUCAGCUGACAGCUGGCAAGAGAUUGGGAAUCUCAGUCUUACAAGGAACUGAAUUAUGCCAACAACCUGCAUGAGUAAGAAAAUGGGUCUUGCCUUGGACCCUCCAUAAAGGGUCCCUGGCAACACUUUGAUUUUAUCCUAGAGAGAUUGUAUUGGACUUGAGACUUACAGAAAUGUACAAUAAUAAAUUUCUAUUGUUUAGCUCAUAAAAGUUGUGGUGUUUGUUAACACAACUGACAGAUAAGUAAAACACUGGACUUCCCUGGCCUUUAUCUCCUCAUCUGCAAAAUAGAGAUGAUACUAUCUUCCUUUUCUAUUGAGGACAAAAUGAGAUGCUUCAUGAGACAGUGCCUGGAAAACUUUAAAAUGCUAUGCAAACAAUAGAUAUUAUUAGAUUUAGAACUAGUUGAUGUGGUAGUCUCAGGGGAGGUCUUGUUGGUACAAAUAGCAAUCACACUGAUUGUUUCUAAUGCUUGAAAUCGCAAUAAGGUAAAGGAAAUAAAUUAUUUCAAAUUCUGUUUUGGUACAGUAACACUUGACAAUAUCUAAGCCUAAUGAGGUCACAAGAGUUAAAACAGAAAGCCCUGCUAAUGAAGGUUAUAUACAUGUCACAACUGGAAUAGAAGACAGAAGAACAGAACGAGUGCUAUUUUAAUAUAACUCUUGGCCUGACAAAAUGAAAAGUUAAUUAACAUGAGAUACCGAAAACCCAAAUAGCAGAUUCCAUCUCCAUUUUAGUUUACUGAGUUUGAUUUGAUUAUGCUGAUUCUCAAGCACCAAUAGCUACCUGGUAUUAUCAGUCUCUUGGCCCUGAUUUCUUAAUCAGCAAAAUAGCUGCUUCUUUCUUGCACAUGGUUAAUUUUGUUGGCUCAUUUGUUUUGGAAGGGACCACAAAGUUUACUUAGGUAGGUGGAUGGGCCACCUCUUUACUUUCGGGGAUAAUUACUUCCAAAGAAACUUUUAAAAUUUAGGCCAGUGUGUUCUAAUGUUUUUUAAGGACAAUCGGAGCUAGGUGGUUGAGCAUUUUAGUCAGUGAAUACAGUCGGCCCUCCCUAUCUGAGGGCUCCACAACUAUGGAUUCAAUUAACUGUGGAUUGAAACCAGAAACAAUGGCUUCUUAAUCUACCUUUUGUGGAGCUUUUGGUCUUUUGCUUCUGCUUGUCUCUAAGUGCUUGAUCCACCUCUCCUCUUCUCACGACAGAUCUCCUUUCUCUGCUUGUUUGUUAGCAGGUAUAUAGCUAAAAAUGACUAUCUCAGGCCAGCCUCUAUGUACAUUGAAUUCAAUUGCACAUAUCACUUUUUUCCCCAUAGUACUGCUUAGUUUAAAUUAAGUA
Molecule: non-coding RNA, 2389 nt
Organism: Equus caballus (horse)
Lineage: Eukaryota; Metazoa; Chordata; Mammalia; Perissodactyla; Equidae
Source: RefSeq, a predicted model, not a curated record